RNAcentral lists this transfer RNA (69 nucleotides) under Marmota monax (woodchuck). Its description in RNAcentral is "tRNA.Ala". Lineage: Eukaryota; Metazoa; Chordata; Mammalia; Rodentia; Sciuridae. The record is from RNAcentral.
GGGGUUGUGGCUCAGUGGUAGAGCACGCCUUGCAUGUGUGAGGCACUGGGUUCGAUCCUCAGCACCACA